GGCCUUCGGGUUGUAAACCUCUUUUAGCAGGGAAGAAGCGAAAGUGACGGUACCUGCAGAAAAAGCGCCGGCUAACUACGUGCCAGCAGCCGCGGUAAUACGUAGGGCGCAAGCGUUAUCCGGAAUUAUUGGGCGUAAAGAGCUCGUAGGCGGUUUGUCGCGUCUGCUGUGAAAUCCCGAGGCUCAACCUCGGGCCUGCAGUGGGUACGGGCAGACUAGAGUGCGGUAGGGGAGAUUGGAAUUCCUGGUGUAGCGGUGGAAUGCGCAGAUAUCAGGAGGAACACCGAUGGCGAAGGCAGAUCUCUGGGCCGUAACUGACGCUGAGGAGCGAAAGGGUGGGGAGCAAACAGGCUUAGAUACCCUGGUAGUCCACCCCGUAAACGUUGGGAACUAGUUGUGGGGUCCAUUCCACGGAUUCCGUGACGCAGCUAACGCAUUAAGUUCCCCGCCUGGGGAGUACGGCCGCAAGGCUAAAACUCAAAGGAAUUGACGGGGACCCGCACAAGCGGCGGAGCAUGCGGAUUAAUUCGAUGCAACGCGAAGAACCUUACCAAGGCUUGACAUAUACGAGAACGGGCCAGAAAUGGUCAACUCUUUGGACACUCGUAAACAGGUGGUGCAUGGUUGUCGUCAGCUCGUGUCGUGAGAUGUUGGGUUAAGUCCCGCAACGAGCGCAACCCUCGUUCUAUGUUGCCAGCACGUAAUGGUGGGAACUCAU
This 718-nucleotide ribosomal RNA is filed under the name Microbacterium sp. M417. RNAcentral's name for it is "bacterial SSU rRNA". It matches the Rfam family "Bacterial small subunit ribosomal RNA", at positions 413 to 1142 of the family's 1533-position model. The record is from RNAcentral. Lineage: Bacteria; Bacillati; Actinomycetota; Actinomycetes; Micrococcales; Microbacteriaceae.